Molecule: ribosomal RNA, 619 nt
Filed under: Saccharomyces cerevisiae (brewer's yeast)
Lineage: Eukaryota; Fungi; Ascomycota; Saccharomycetes; Saccharomycetales; Saccharomycetaceae
Description: LSU rRNA
Rfam family: Eukaryotic large subunit ribosomal RNA
Source: RNAcentral
UUGCAUUUUCAUAAGCGGAGGAAAAGAAACCAACCGGGAUUGCCUUAGUAACGGCGAGUGAAGCGGCAAAAGCUCAAAUUUGAAAUCUGGUACCUUUGGUGCCCGAGUUGUAAUUUGGAGAGGGCAACUUUGGGACCGUUCCUUGUCUAUGUUCCUUGGAACAGGACGUCAUAGAGGGUGAGAAUCCCGUGUGGCGAGGAGUGCGGUUCUAUGUAAAGUGCCUUCGAAGAGUCGAGUUGUUUGGGAAUGCAGCUCUAAGUGGGUGGUAAAUUCCAUCUAAAGCUAAAUAUUGGCGAGAGACCGAUAGCGAACAAGUACAGUGAUGGAAAGAUGAAAAGAACUUUGAAAAGAGAGUGAAAAAGUACGUGAAAUUGUUGAAAGGGAAGGGCAUUUGAUCAGACAUGGUGUUUUGCGCCCUCUGCUCCUUGUGGGUGGGGGAAUCUCGCAGUUCACUGGGCCAGCAUCAGUUUUGGUGGCAGGAUAAAUCCGUAGGAAUGUAACUUGCUUCGGGAAGUAUUAUAGCCUAUGGGAAUACUGCCAGCUGGGACUGAGGACUGCGACGUAAGUCAAGGAUGCUGGCAUAAUGGUUAUAUGCCGCCCGUCUUGAACCCCGGGACCA